RNAcentral lists this non-coding RNA (168 nucleotides) under bovine gut metagenome. RNAcentral describes it as "Lysine riboswitch". It matches the Rfam family "Lysine riboswitch aptamer". Rfam says of the family: Riboswitches are metabolite binding domains within certain messenger RNAs that serve as precision sensors for their corresponding targets. Allosteric rearrangement of mRNA structure is mediated by ligand binding, and this results in modulation of gene expression. The record is from RNAcentral.
AGGAUAGAGGCGCGGGAUUCAUCAGUAUCUCCAAAUCGAAGGAUCCGCAGAUCUGAUUUUGGAGAGAAAGGGAAUACCGCCGAAGGACUUAAGACCACCUGCGGAAAGUCAGAGUCCUGGGCAGUCGGAGAAUAUCCGGCUGACUGUCGCAUUUGCGGAGAGCUAUGA